CCUACGGGAGGCAGCAGUGAGGAAUAUUGGUCAAUGGACGAGAGUCUGAACCAGCCAAGUAGCGUGAAUGAUGACUGCCCUAUGGGUGGUAAACUUCUUUUAUAUGGGAAUAAAAUGUUCCACGUGUGGGAUUUUGUAUGUACCGUAUGAAUAAGGAUCGGCUAACUCCGUGCCAGCAGCCGCGGUAAUACGGAGGAUCCGAGCGUUAUCCGGAUUUAUUGGGUUUAAAGGGAGCGUAGGUGGAUUGUUAAGUCAGUUGUGAAAGUUUGCGGCUCAACCGUAAAAUUGCAGUUGAAACUGGCAGUCUUGAGUACAGUAGAGGUGGGCGGAAUUCGUGGUGUAGCGGUGAAAUGCUUAGAUAUCACGAAGAACUCCGAUUGCGAAGGCAGCUCACUGGACUGCAACUGACACUGAGGUUCGAAAGUGUGGGUAUCAAACAGGAUUAGAUACCCUAGUAGUC
RNAcentral lists this ribosomal RNA (460 nucleotides) under uncultured bacterium. Its description in RNAcentral is "partial 16S ribosomal RNA". It matches the Rfam family "Bacterial small subunit ribosomal RNA", at positions 338 to 795 of the family's 1533-position model. The record is from RNAcentral.